This 1203-nucleotide long non-coding RNA is filed under the name Marmota monax (woodchuck). Lineage: Eukaryota; Metazoa; Chordata; Mammalia; Rodentia; Sciuridae. The record is from RNAcentral.
AACUUUCAUUUUCAAGGUUAUCACCCUUCAGUGAAGAUAAACACUACUAAAAGCUUGUCAGCUCUUUUUGAGACAGGAAAAAGGAUUUGUUUCUCUGCCUGUCUCGAGGAGAUAGAUGUGGACAUCAGUGUCCUUCUACAAAGCAGUCGAUGAGCCUAAACAAGAUGAAGUGGCAGCAUGUUGAUGGAGUAUAUUCAGAGGUGACAAGCAGCCUUGCAGACAGCGAUGUUUUCUUCAUUAUUUUGCAGACAAGACUUCAGAACUUCAGAGAGCUCUUACAAUAGGAAAAAGAAGAAGAAGAAGAAGAAAAAAAAAACAUGACCUGACAAGGUUAGAAGUUAGGAAUGCAUUGUGCCUUGAAAAGGACCAGCCAACAGAUGAGGACACGGUUUACUUCUGCCUGAAGGACACUUUCUCAAAAAAAAAAAAUCUAAACAUUUAGAACCUUCAGUCUUUACACAUUUGUAGAUUAGAAUAAGGAUUCUUUUAUAAGAAAUGUUAAAAUUCCCUUGGCAGAGGGUGAACUGGACAGGUUUUUUGAACAUUAGAGAUGGUUAUGUGAAGAUUUAAAAAAUAUCAUCUCACUUAAUCGCCUCUCUUAAGAAAAUAGGAAGCUAAAAAAUUAAAAAGAAAAUAGGAAACUGAGACGGAGAAUUAAUUAACCAACUUGAGUAACAGGGAUAGAGUAUAGUCAAAACCAAGACUAGCACUUUUACUCCUGGUCUUGUAAAUUUUAUUCUUUAUUCUAUACUGAAUAUAUGCUAUCUCAUGCAAAAUUUCAGAGUUUGAGUGCGUGUGACUGCUAAUAGACAGGCUGUUAGGCUACCACACAGUGGCUGCCAUUUCCCCCUUGUGUUCAGGCUUCCUGUGCAGCAUGAUACUAAGCUGAGGUCUUCUCCCUUAACGAUUUCCUGCCAUUUCCUCUAUGUAAGGCACUGGAGCCUUCAAGUUGCCAGUUGUAUUCUGUGGAGAGGUAUGGGAAACCACCUCCACCCUCUCUUCUUUUAGUCCCCCCUCCUCAUAUUUUCUAUUGGUAUAUGAUUGUUGUACAAAAUGAGAUGGUAUUUGUUGUUACAUAUUUGUACAUGCACACAAUAAAACAAUAUAAUUUGGUUACUAUUAUUCUCCAGUACUCCCCCUUCCUCCCCACCUCCCUCACCCUGCUCCCUUUCUUUUAUUGAUCUCCUUAUGAUUUUCUUGAGC